RNAcentral lists this ribosomal RNA (396 nucleotides) under uncultured bacterium. RNAcentral describes it as "partial 16S ribosomal RNA". It matches the Rfam family "Bacterial small subunit ribosomal RNA", at positions 523 to 918 of the family's 1533-position model. The record is from RNAcentral.
AUACGUAGGGGGCAAGCGUUAUCCGGAUUUACUGGGUGUAAAGGGAGCGUAGACGGCGAAGCAAGUCUGAAGUGAAAGGACGGGGCCCAACCCCGGAACUGCUUUGGAAACUGUUUGGCUGGAGUGCGGGAGGGGUAAGCGGAAUUCCUAGUGUAGCGGUGAAAUGCGUAGAUAUUAGGAGGAACACCGGUGGCGAAGGCGGCUUACUGGACCGUAACUGACGUUGAGGCUCGAAGGCGUGAGGAGCAAACAGGAUUAGAUACCCUGGUAGUCCACGCGGUAAACGAUGAUCACUAGGUGUCCGUGGGUAUGACCCAUGGGUGCCGCAGCCAACGCAAUAAGUGAUCCACCUGGGGAGUACGUUCGCAAGAAUGAAACUCAAAGGAAUUGACGGGG